Macaca fascicularis (crab-eating macaque) is the source of this 116-nucleotide unclassified non-coding RNA. It matches the Rfam family "Metazoan signal recognition particle RNA". From Rfam's summary of the family: The signal recognition particle (SRP) is a universally conserved ribonucleoprotein. It is involved in the co-translational targeting of proteins to membranes. The record is from Ensembl. NCBI's taxonomy places the organism in Eukaryota, Metazoa, Chordata, Mammalia, Primates, Cercopithecidae.
GCUGGGUGUGGUGGCUAACGCCUGUAAUCCCAUACUCUGGGAGGCCGAGGCAGGUGGGUCACUUGAGCUCAGGAGUUCAAGACCAGCCUGGGCAACAUGGUGAAACCCUGUCUCUA